AAGGAAUAUUGCGCAAUGGGCGACAGCCUGACGCAGCGACGCCGCGUGGGGGAUGAAGGUCUUCGGAUUGUAAACCCCUUUCGGGAGGGAAGAGGGAAUGGGGUAACCCAUUCGGACGGUACCUCCAGAAGCAGCCACGGCUAACUUCGUGCCAGCAGCCGCGGUAAUACGAAGGUGGCAAGCGUUGUUCGGAUUCACUGGGCGUACAGGGAGCGUAGGCGGUUGGGUAAGCCCUCCGUGAAAUCUCCGGGCCUAACCCGGAAAGUGCAGAGGGGACUGCUCGGCUUGAGGACGGGAGAGGAGCGCGGAAUUCCCGGUGUAGCGGUGAAAUGCGUAGAGAUCGGGAGGAAGGCCGGUGGCGAAGGCGGCGCUCUGGAACGUUUCUGACGCUGAGGCUCGAAAGCGUGGGGAGCAAA
This 416-nucleotide ribosomal RNA is filed under the name uncultured bacterium. RNAcentral's name for it is "bacterial SSU rRNA". It matches the Rfam family "Bacterial small subunit ribosomal RNA", at positions 356 to 772 of the family's 1533-position model. The record is from RNAcentral.